This 617-nucleotide ribosomal RNA is filed under the name Escherichia coli. RNAcentral describes it as "partial 23S ribosomal RNA". It matches the Rfam family "Bacterial large subunit ribosomal RNA", at positions 1 to 658 of the family's 2925-position model. The record is from RNAcentral. Lineage: Bacteria; Pseudomonadati; Pseudomonadota; Gammaproteobacteria; Enterobacterales; Enterobacteriaceae.
GGUUAAGCGACUAAGCGUACACGGUGGAUGCCCUGGCAGUCAGAGGCGAUGAAGGACGUGCUAAUCUGCGAUAAGCGUCGGUGAGGUGAUAUGAACCGUUAUAACCGGCGAUUUCCGAAUGGGGAAACCCAGUGUGUUUCGACACACUAUCAUUAACUGAAUCCAUAGGUUAAUGAGGCGAACCGGGGGAACUGAAACAUCUAAGUACCCCGAGGAAAAGAAAUCAACCGAGAUUCCCCCAGUAGCGGCGAGCGAACGGGGAGGAGCCCAGAGCCUGAAUCAGUGUGUGUGUUAGUGGAAGCGUCUGGAAAGGCGUGCGAUACAGGGUGACAGCCCCGUACACAAAAAUGCACAUAUUGUGAGCUCGAUGAGUAGGGCGGGACACGUGGUAUCCUGUCUGAAUAUGGGGGGACCAUCCUCCAAGGCUAAAUACUCCUGACUGACCGAUAGUGAACCAGUACCGUGAGGGAAAGGCGAAAAGAACCCCGGCGAGGGGAGUGAAAAAGAACCUGAAACCGUGUACGUACAAGCAGUGGGAGCCUCUUAAUGGGGUGACUGCGUACCUUUUGUAUAAUGGGUCAGCGACUUAUAUUCUGUAGCAAGGUUAACCGAAUAGG